RNAcentral lists this ribosomal RNA (498 nucleotides) under uncultured bacterium. Its description in RNAcentral is "bacterial SSU rRNA". It matches the Rfam family "Bacterial small subunit ribosomal RNA", at positions 28 to 507 of the family's 1533-position model. The record is from RNAcentral.
GACGAACGCUGGCGGCGUGCCUAAUACAUGCAAGUCGAGCGGACUAAUUAAGAGCUUGCUCUUAUGAGGUUAGCGGCGGACGGGUGAGUAACACGUGGGCAACCUACCUUGUAGAUUGGGAUAACUCCGGGAAACCGGGGCUAAUACCGAAUAAUCCAUUUUGCUUCAUGGCGAGAUGUUGAAAGACGGUUUCGGCUGUCACUACAAGAUGGGCCCGCGGCGCAUUAGCUAGUUGGUAGGGUAAUGGCCUACCAAGGCGACGAUGCGUAGCCGACCUGAGAGGGUGAUCGGCCACACUGGGACUGAGACACGGCCCAGACUCCUACGGGAGGCAGCAGUAGGGAAUCUUCCACAAUGGACGAAAGUCUGAUGGAGCAACGCCGCGUGAGUGAAGAAGGUUUUCGGAUCGUAAAACUCUGUUGUAAGGGAAGAACACGUACGAGAGUAACUGCUCGUACCUUGACGGUACCUUAUUAGAAAGCCACGGCUAACUACGUG